Beta vulgaris subsp. vulgaris (sugar beet) is the source of this 1322-nucleotide long non-coding RNA. RefSeq lists it as uncharacterized. The transcript has 4 exons. Lineage: Eukaryota; Viridiplantae; Streptophyta; Magnoliopsida; Caryophyllales; Amaranthaceae. The record is from RefSeq and is a predicted model, not a curated record.
CUUAAUUUUUCUUUCAUCAGUUUAACCAAAACAAACUUAUCUACCUUCUCUCUCUUCCUCAUCAUCGUCAUUUUCGCCAUUAUUAUCAUUCGGCAUCAUCGUCAUCGUCGUCGGAGCUCGAGCUCAGUGGGAUGUUGUUAUUGAUGCUGGUUUAUCUUGUUUGAGUAGCUUCUAUAGAGGGUCCAAGUGAAUUUUAUACAACCUGUAUUAUGCGCAUAAAUUGGAAGUGUAAUAUUCCAUUAAUGGAGUCACGAAGAUCUUAAAUUAUUCCAAAAGUUGAGCGAUGAAACCAAAUUACUGGAUUUCAUGAUACAUAAAGAUGUUUUGAAGAAUGGGAUUGAGGUUAAGCUACAACUGAAUGUGCUGAGUGUGCUAGAACCACCUACGGGACACGAGGAAGAUGAUGAGCUUCAUCACUCCAGCUGCAGCUCUGAUCUUGGCGAGAAGGACCAUGAAUUUGGUAAGCUACAUCUGUUUCGGCAAAGUCAAAUCAUCGGAAUUGCUUGAAGGAAUGACACUCCAACAUUCAUACCUCUCACUGUAGGCUGAACUUUGCUAAGCUUGGUAGUGACUCACCGUGGAGGUAGUAUUUGAGCAGAUUUCAUCUAGUCAGUAUACUAUACUCCCUUUUCGAUCUCUUUUAACAGUCUAGAAAUUCCACAUUAUAUUGUUACCUAAAUCUUCUUGUACUAAGUUAAGUUAACCAAAAAAGUAUACUAUACAGGGGAGCAUGAAUUCUAGCUUAAUUAACAUUGUGCAGCGCCACUUUGCUUCACAUGUACGGUUUCUCUUUGGGAAUUUCUCUUUGUAUGUCACUCAGAAGCGGGCAGAUCAUUACAAUUACUAAUAUUUUGAUUUAUCUUGAAAUAUCAUAAAGUUGACGAAGUACAAGUGAUUUCGGAAUUCAUUUGUGCUGCCAAGACACUAAGGAGUGGCAACAGAAGUAGGGAGUGAAAAAAAUGAAGAUAUUUCACGUGUUGAUCACAAAACCUUGUCUUUUUAACCUUAGUAAUUAAAAUCAGAAAUUACAAAAUUUUCUUUUUUUCUUUUAUUGGCCUUAGGAUCUACUCUGUUCUUCUUUAUGGUAUGUGAGAAUGCAGUUGAGAUGUGGUUGCUAGAAACCACAUUCAUGCAAUUUUAAUGUGAUAGUAUUUGCGGUAUUUUUUAAAAUUUUGUAUAUUAGCUCCACAAAUCAUACCCACCCGCCGUCUCUGCACGUUGCCGGUGUUCUCACUUUUUAAUAUCCGUUGUAAAAUAAAAUAAUAUAGACACUAUUGUACAUUGUAAAAUAUAAUGUAACGUAUUUGUGUGAUUGCAUUUCA